GGUAGUCCACGCCGUAAACGAUGGAUACUAGCUGUUGGAGGUAUCGACCCCUUCAGUAGCGAAGCUAACGCGUUAAGUAUCCCGCCUGUGGAGUACGGUCGCAAGACUAAAACAUAAAGGAAUUGACGGGGACCCGCACAAGCGGUGGAGCGUGUUCUUUAAUUCGAUGCAAAACGAAGAACCUUACCAACACUUGACAUCCUUGGAAUUUUGCCGAGAGGCGAGAGUGCUUUAUUGAACCAAGUGACAGGUGCUGCAUGGCCGUCGUCAGCUCGUGUCGUGAGAUGUUUGGUUAAG
Molecule: ribosomal RNA, 297 nt
Filed under: uncultured bacterium
Lineage: Bacteria
Description: partial 16S ribosomal RNA
Rfam family: Bacterial small subunit ribosomal RNA
Source: RNAcentral